Molecule: ribosomal RNA, 497 nt
Filed under: uncultured bacterium
Lineage: Bacteria
Description: partial 16S ribosomal RNA
Rfam family: Bacterial small subunit ribosomal RNA
Source: RNAcentral
GAUGAACGCUGGCGGCGUGCCUAAUACAUGCAAGUCGAGCGAACGGACGAGAAGCUUGCUUCUCUGAUGUUAGCGGCGGACGGGUGAGUAACACGUGGAUAACCUACCUAUAAGACUGGGAUAACUUCGGGAAACCGGAGCUAAUACCGGAUAAUAUUUUGAACCGCAUAGUUCAAAAGUGAAAGACGGUCUUGCUGUCACUUAUAGAUGGAUCCGCGCUGCAUUAGCUAGUUGGUAAGGUAACGGCUUACCAAGGCAACGAUGCAUAGCCGACCUGAGAGGGUGAUCGGCCACACUGGAACUGAGACACGGUCCAGACUCCUACGGGAGGCAGCAGUAGGGAAUCUUCCGCAAUGGGCGAAAGCCUGACGGAGCAACGCCGCGUGAGUGAUGAAGGUCUUCGGAUCGUAAAACUCUGUUAUUAGGGAAGAACAUAUGUGUAAGUAACUGUGCACAUCUUGACGGUACCUAACCAGAAAGCCACGGCUAACUACAUG